This is a long non-coding RNA of Ictalurus punctatus (channel catfish), 502 nucleotides long. The record is from Ensembl. NCBI's taxonomy places the organism in Eukaryota, Metazoa, Chordata, Actinopteri, Siluriformes, Ictaluridae.
GUGCUCUAUGUCGCGGUGAGAACGGGGUGUAGGCCGAGCCAUGCUCUGCACAGCACGUUUGCGUCCACGUGUGACCAUAGUCCAACCAUCUAUCUCUGGCCAAACCAUGGUUUAAGAGUCUUAUCCUUUUUAAUGUAUAUGUGUGUUCAUAGACUGAUUGUAGAGCUAAAUGAAUGAAGUUGGACCUUUUUUCCGUGUUUUAGGUGUGAGAGUAUUCCUGGGGAGAAUGGAGUCAGGUUCGAUACUGGAUGAUUGACUGGGGAUCUAAGGUGUGAGAGGACUCUUGGGGAGAUUGGAACCAGGUAAGUAGGCUUAUUUAUUAUUUUUUUAUGUUUUUUUGUGUUCUCAGGUAAGUAGGAUCUUAAUUAGUAUCAUGUACUUUUUUAUUUUCAGGAAAAUGGGGCUCGAUUUGUGUUAGGUGCUUUUUAAGUAAUUGUGGAAUUAUGUAUUAUAUACUAUAUUAUCAAGUGUAUUUUGAGGAAUUUUUAUUUCAGGUCAAUAG